GACGAACCGUGCAAACGUUGUUCGGAAUCACUGGGCUUAAAGGGCGCGUAGGCGGGGGACCAAGUCCGGGGUGAAAUCUUUCGGCUCAACCGGAAAACUGCCUUGGAUACUGGUCUUCUAGAGGGAGGUAGGGGCAGGUGGAACUUCCGGUGGAGCGGUGAAAUGCGUUGAUAUCGGAAGGAACGCCGGUGGCGAAAGCGGCCUGCUGGAUCUCUUCUGACGCUGAGUGCGCGAAAGCUAGGGGAGCGAACGGG
Molecule: ribosomal RNA, 254 nt
Filed under: uncultured Gemmata sp.
Lineage: Bacteria; Pseudomonadati; Planctomycetota; Planctomycetia; Gemmatales; Gemmataceae
Description: partial 16S ribosomal RNA
Rfam family: Bacterial small subunit ribosomal RNA
Source: RNAcentral